This 774-nucleotide ribosomal RNA is filed under the name uncultured Neocallimastigales. RNAcentral's name for it is "partial large subunit ribosomal RNA". It matches the Rfam family "Eukaryotic large subunit ribosomal RNA", at positions 22 to 621 of the family's 3401-position model. The record is from RNAcentral. Lineage: Eukaryota; Fungi; Neocallimastigomycota; Neocallimastigomycetes; Neocallimastigales.
AUAUCAGUCAUGCAUAGCAUAUCAAUAAGCGGAGGAAAAGAAACUAACAAGGAUUCCCUUAGUAACGGCGAGUGAAGCGGGAAGAGCUCAAAUUUGAAAUCUUCAAGGUUCUACCUUGACGAAUUGUAGUUUAUAGAAGUGUUUUCUGUUAGUGGAGUGGCAAAAGUUCUUUGGAAUAGGACAUCAUAGAGGGUGAGAAUCCCGUAUUUGGUCAUUCCUCCUAGCGUUGUGAUACACUUUCAAAGAGUCGGAUUGUUUGGGAAUGCAGUCCAAAAUGGGUGGUAAAUUUCAUCUAAAGCUAAAUAUUGGCGAGAGACCGAUAUCGAACAAGUACCGUGAGGGAAAGAUGAAAAGAACUUUGAAAAGAGAGUUAAACAGUACGUGAAAUUGUCAAAAGGGAAGCGUUUGACACCAGUGUUGUUUUUCCGAAAAUCAAUUACGAAUGUUUUGUUUUUGAGGAGUUAUGACUUCAUCGGCUUGCUCCUUUCUUUAUGAAACUUUCUUAAUGCACUUUUCGGUUAACAAGUCAACAUCAAUUUCUUUUGUUGUAAAAGGGUAUGAGGAAGGUGGCUUUCUUUUCGGAGAAAGUGUUUAUAGCCUUGUGCCUCUGCAAUCGGAGAGAUUGAGGUCUGCAGCGUAGAUCCUUCGGGGUUAGAUACGUUUGUGCUAAGUUAUAGCUUUUCAUAGACAACUUGUUGACUAUGUUUAGUCUUGUAGCUUACUCGCUGACGCUAUUUUACCUACGCUUAGGAUGUUGAUCUCUAUCACACACAG